Molecule: ribosomal RNA, 253 nt
Filed under: Brevundimonas basaltis
Lineage: Bacteria; Pseudomonadati; Pseudomonadota; Alphaproteobacteria; Caulobacterales; Caulobacteraceae
Also listed under: 1 other name
Description: partial 16S ribosomal RNA
Rfam family: Bacterial small subunit ribosomal RNA
Source: RNAcentral
UACGAAGGGGGCUAGCGUUGCUCGGAAUUACUGGGCGUAAAGGGAGCGUAGGCGGACAUUUAAGUCAGGGGUGAAAUCCCGGAGCUCAACUCCGGAACUGCCCUUGAUACUGGGUGUCUUGAGUGUGAGAGAGGUAUGUGGAACUCCGAGUGUAGAGGUGAAAUUCGUAGAUAUUCGGAAGAACACCAGUGGCGAAGGCGACAUACUGGCUCAUUACUGACGCUGAGGCUCGAAAGCGUGGGGAGCAAACAGG